This 1926-nucleotide long non-coding RNA is filed under the name Homo sapiens (human). RNAcentral's name for it is "HSALNT0332811". The record is from RNAcentral. Lineage: Eukaryota; Metazoa; Chordata; Mammalia; Primates; Hominidae.
AUCAUUACUGAAUUUGGUUGAUGCUCUAUGGAGAAAGCCAAAGUUAGGAGUUUUGUCUGUCAUUGAGGUAGAGACCCUCAACUAGGGAAGCUUUGAACUGUUCAUCCAGCUGGUAUUCUGUACCACCUUGCCUCUGGAGUUGAGCUUAGAACCCUACUUCCAUUUUUUCUGUCACUUCAGGGCUGUUUCAACUAUUGUUUCUUCAUUUACUUAUAUCAAGUGUGUUUUCUCAAUUCAUAAGCAUGGGAGACCCCAAGAGACAGAUAUCGCAUUAGUCCUUUUUUGUUUGUUUAGCAGGAAGGUUUUUAAGUAAAGCUCCUAAAUGAUAUGUCUCAUUCUCAUGGAAAUUCAUCAAUAUUGUUUUACUGUCUCCUAUCUGGUUACUUUUUAUUUUAGGUAACCACUGUGAUACAAUAUACACAAGUCCCUGGAUCAUGAAAAUAAAUUGAAGAGCUAAUGUUAAUAGUAAGUUCUCAACCAGGGGUUAUGCUGGAACCCAGGAUACAUAACCCACAGGAGGGCCCUCCGUGAACUCAGUUUUCAUGGAAUUGUCCCAUACCUUCACAGGUAGAAGCAUGGCUAUGUUAAAAGUGGCCAAUGAAAGUAUAGUUUCUUUAUGCCUUAUACUUUGUUUGGUGAGGAUUUCUGCCAGAGGUGUUUGUUUCCUUUAGUUUUCUGGUUGCUAUGAUUUUAUACAGCUUUGGUGACCUCUAUGAGUACCAGAUAAAGUUAGGUAUGAUAAAGGCACAAAAAGACCGUAGAAGCCAUUUGUAUUCUAAAUAUAAAUAUACAGACUAAAUUUGUAUGCAUUUGUGUCUUCAUUCUUCACGGUGCUGUAUCCUCCGUGUGUGUGUGUGUGUGUGUGUGUGUGUGUGUGUGUGUAUUUCUUCUUUGAUUCCAGGCUGCUUAUACGAAAAUGCUGAUUCAUAGUGUCACUGUCUUUUCUUUUUCCUGCGAAAUUCUAAAUCCGUUUCUAAACUUUUUCUACAACUCUGAGUUUAAUCUCUCUAAAGUUUUUUUUUUUCCCUCUUGCGGACACAAGGCACUUUGCUUUGUUUAUGCUAAUAAAUGUCAGACUAGCCCCCAAAAAUUAGAAGAAAUGCCAGUAAUUUCAAAGGGCUCUUGAGCAUGAUUUUUUUUCCUGUUUCUUAAUACAUUGUACUUUUCAGAGUUUAAGUUUAGGUGCAUGUAGGUGGUAUUAGAAGAUUCUUAGAUUUUAUUGGUAGCAUCCAGACAAUCUUGUCAUCACCCGAUAUAUAUCACCUCUAUGUGGUAGACCCUUGUGGAAAUUUUCUCAUCACGAAAGUCGAAAGUUUAAUUUUGGAGAGGAAGAGGUUUUUCAGAUACAUUAAAUAGGUUUUGCUACAAUAAGAUUCUAGCAGGGAGUACUGCUGGCUUUUAUGUAAGAAGUCAACUUUAAAAGUGUUUUUGUGUGCGUGUGGUGUGGGUGCAGCAGCAAUAUUGUGUAUUCCUUUCAAAUCAAGAUGCCUCAUAGUCUGUGGGCGGGGGAACUCCCUAAGAUGCCCUCACUAGUUACUCAUUCAUUUGUUCCUCCCCAGAAAGGGAAAACCCAAUGCUCCACACUCCACUUAUUCUGAAUAAUGGGGGCGGGGAGGUGGUGGCGUGAGGAUGUCAGUGUCAUUGGGCAAAAGCCUUCAUUUUUAAAGUUUAGCAAAAUGCAGUUUUAUUGCUUUAUGAUCAGUGUGUAUUACAAGCUAAUAUACAAAUGGCAUUAGUGAUCAAAGUGGGAUACUGAUGUGGCAAAAAUUUACAAUACACUUAACAGAUUGACCUGACAUAACAGUGAAAGCAUUUGAAUUCCUUCCCACAUAGAAGCAAUCCAAUAAGGAACUUGGUCUCCCAUAAAGAAUCCAAUAAAGAAAACUUUAAAAUGAGAGGAGGGUUAUGGAUUUGAUCAUCUCCAAG